UGAGGAAUAUUGGUCAAUGGGCGCAAGCCUGAACCAGCCAUCCCGCGUGAAGGAAGAAGGCCUUAUGGGUUGUAAACUUCUUUUCUAUUUGAAGAAUUUGCCCGACGUGUCGGGUAUUGCCGGUAGGAUAGGAAUAAGCAUCGGCUAACUCCGUGCCAGCAGCCGCGGUAAUACGGAGGAUGCAAGCGUUAUCCGGAUUUAUUGGGUUUAAAGGGUGCGCAGGUGGUUUAAUGAGUCAGUGGUGAAAGUCUGCCGCUUAACGGUAGGAUUGCCAUUGAUACUGUUAGACUUGAGUUUGGAUGAGGUAGGCGGAAUGUGUAGUGUAGCGGUGAAAUGCAUAGAUAUUACACAGAACACCGAUUGCGAAGGCAGCUUACUAAUCCACGACUGACGCUGAGGCACGAAAGCGUGGGGAUCAAACAGG
Molecule: ribosomal RNA, 424 nt
Filed under: uncultured bacterium
Lineage: Bacteria
Description: bacterial SSU rRNA
Rfam family: Bacterial small subunit ribosomal RNA
Source: RNAcentral